CCACUGAGAAGAGUCUGGCUCCAUCUUCUUGACAUUCUUCUUUCAGUCAUAGCCCUCUUCUGGACCCACUGCAGCAGCUCCAUGUCUCUUUUGUGCUGAGGAUCCCAGAGCUGUUCACAGUAUUGCAGGAUCAUGAAUUCCACCUUCUCAGCCAAGGCUGCCCUCAGAUUUAAAUCCACAACUGAUUCUUCCUCAUUCAGGUUCAGAUCACACCUGAAGUACUGUGCUCAGUUCUGAUCCCCAUAAAAGAAGAAAGGUAUGUAUAGAGUGUCAAAGACCAGGAAGAUGAUCAAAGUACUGGAGAAGCUGCCUAUAUGGAAAGACUAAAGAAGUUAGGUCUUUUCUCCCUGGAGAAGAGAAGAUUCAGGGGGGACUUCGUAAAAU
Molecule: long non-coding RNA, 384 nt
Organism: Corapipo altera (White-ruffed manakin)
Lineage: Eukaryota; Metazoa; Chordata; Aves; Passeriformes; Pipridae
Exons: 4
Source: RefSeq, a predicted model, not a curated record